This 272-nucleotide long non-coding RNA is filed under the name Hordeum vulgare. Its description in RNAcentral is "long non-coding RNA (HVUL_LNC004568)". Lineage: Eukaryota; Viridiplantae; Streptophyta; Magnoliopsida; Poales; Poaceae. The record is from RNAcentral.
AGAGCGCUUGGGUGGUAGAAAUGCUACUUAGUAGGAUACAACAUGUUAGUUUUGGUCUACAGUAGUAUCAAUAUGAAGAUUGGAGUGUCAGAUCUUGCAGUUUUCGCCCUGUGCGGUACUACCGCUCCUCCUGGAGCGGUACUACUGCAGUGGGCGCGGCAGUAAAAAUUUACUACCGCCUGACCUACGGUACUACCGCACCCUGGAGCGGUACUACCGCGGCCAGAUCGGUAGUAGUUUUGUUACUACCGCUCGAACUGCGGUACUAUCGC